Molecule: transfer RNA, 67 nt
Filed under: Coptosoma bifarium
Lineage: Eukaryota; Metazoa; Arthropoda; Insecta; Hemiptera; Plataspidae
Description: tRNA-His
Rfam family: tRNA
About the family: Transfer RNA (tRNA) molecules are approximately 80 nucleotides in length. Their secondary structure includes four short double-helical elements and three loops (D, anti-codon, and T loops). Further hydrogen bonds mediate the characteristic L-shaped molecular structure. tRNAs have two regions of fundamental functional importance: the anti-codon, which is responsible for specific mRNA codon recognition, and the 3' end, to which the tRNAs corresponding amino acid is attached (by aminoacyl-tRNA synthetases). tRNAs cope with the degeneracy of the genetic code in two manners: having more than one tRNA (with a specific anti-codon) for a particular amino acid; and 'wobble' base-pairing, i.e. permitting non-standard base-pairing at the 3rd anti-codon position.
Source: RNAcentral
GUUUAGGUAGUUUAAUUCAGAAUAUCAGCUUGUGAUGUUGAAGGUGUAAUAUUAUUUAUUUUAAACC